Long non-coding RNA from Hemicordylus capensis (graceful crag lizard), 1435 nucleotides. RefSeq lists it as uncharacterized. The transcript has 3 exons. The record is from RefSeq and is a predicted model, not a curated record. NCBI's taxonomy places the organism in Eukaryota, Metazoa, Chordata, Lepidosauria, Squamata, Cordylidae.
AUUUUGCUUUGCCCACAGCCAGGCUGCAGAGCUUGCUGGGACAUCCUGGAACUGAUGUUUUGCGGGCCAAGUUCGAGAGCAAGUGCUACUCCUAUCCUGAUCAACAAAUAGUGUCCUAAUUCACACACAAGCAGCAAAUGAGUGGCAAAUCUAUGUUUUGACUUCAGAGUACAGCUGUCUUCCAUGAUGGAACUCAAGGUGGCUUGUGUACAGAUCCUAGAAAUUUUAUCAUCCAAGCACUGACCAGACCCAGAAGUUAAUCAAAGUGGCUUAUCUUCAGCAAGAUUCUGCUGCUUCAUGUGCCUUCAGACCUUGCCCUAGGACUCAACAUUCAAGAAGAUACAAUUCAGAAGGUUUAUAAUAUGGAUUGAGAUCAAAGGAAAUUGUCUCCUUCAAUGUGGUUAAAGAAAUGGACUUUCACUCCAAGUAUUUGGGCUUACCUGAGUUGUGGAUCAGAGCUGGGAUCAAAUAAAGAUUAAAGGGAGACAUGAUAACCAUGUAAAUAUUUAAACAGUUGCUCUAAAGAAUUAAAGAAAAGUACUCUGCUGCCAUAAGCAAUAUGGCAAAAGACAAUUGGCUUUUAUAAUAAAAUAGAUGUAGGGAUUUUUUAAAAUCCCAAUGGCAGCUGGACCAUGGAAUAUGUGGCCCAAUUAAACUGCAAGAUAUCUUCUAUGGGAAGUUUCAAGAAACAUUUCAAGAAAAAUAAUGUGAUUGCUGACCGACAAGGUUUUGGUUUAGUUAUAGUGAAUCUUACUUCAAAACAAGGGUUUGAUAGAUGAUGCUUCAGAGUUAAAGAUUCCCUACAUAUAGGGUGUAAGGAAGCAAAGGCAAUUGUCUCCUUGAUUGUGUUUAAAGAAAUGGCGCUCUCACCUAUCCUGAGAUUGAUACCUUGUAAUCAGUGGGUGAAUGGGCCCUACCAACACAAAGCUGGAGCUCCCAACUUGGACAAAAGGCAGUGGCUGACAUAAUGACUAAUUCAAUUGUACUAUUUUUUAUUUAUUUAAACAUAUUUCUUAUACCGCCCAAAACUCACAUCUCUGGAGUUUACUUCUCUGAACUACUACUCAUGAGUUAAUCUAGAGGACUACUAAAUUUUAGUAGAACUUCCUCUAGUAAAUUUAGACAGGAUAUCAGGCAGCUACUAUAUAUAUUUAAAUAUUGGAGCUUUGUAAUUAUGCAGAUUAAUUUGAAAUUAUCUCAAGCAAAACCAUUGUUUCAAAGAAUGAGAAUAUUAUUUCAGGAUAAGGGUAAUGCUGAGCAAUAUGUAGAGGCCCUUUAAGAGGGUCUGGAGCCUAGGAUUCUCUCACUUGGAGACCAAAAGACUUGAGUCCUAUUCAGAUGGUGAAAAACCAGGAUGCAUACUUGUGUAUGCAGACCCGAGCAGACCCAGAAGUCCCGUCCCAUCACUUACUGCCACUUCUUGCACUGCUCAUGA